GAUUUCUGAGUACAAGUUUCAAAAGGAGCUUCUGGUGACAUUGUGCGUCCCCUCACUGGUGGCUACGGAGAUCUCUUUGCCUUGGGCUGACUGGGAAGAGACAGGACAACUUGGUCCCUUUAAGGUGUCUUUGAAAGCUGCCUGAGCACACCAGCCUGUCACUUCAUUCCUUCUGUGGGUAUGUCUAAGUAGAGAUUACAUCUGCAGGUAUUUAAGUGAGCAGAUUAUUGUAUUAAACCAACAUCCCAGAAUUUUUUUAUUUGCCCCACUGAAAACUGAGCAUCAAAGCGGCUGCUUGUAGACAUUUCCACGCCCAACCCACCAUACUUGAAGUAUUUCUUAGGGCUUUAUUUUAUAGCUGGUUUGAGUCCACAAGGAAGUGGUUCUUUGUAGAGGCCUUUAUAAGUGUGAGUGGUCCCCUCAGAGCGUCCUCGGGGACAGAGAUACACAGCCCUGAUAUGGCUGAUGAGAGGUGUUUUUUUUUUUUCUUCCUACAGUCCAUGGGCCAAUUGCCCUCGACUGUCUGGUGUGUUCUGUUGUGUGUUUGAACGAUCAAUACUUUCUUCAAAGACACACAUUCCAUCUACUUGGACAUCAGGAAAUCCUUUCUCUGUUCUGAGUUGAAUAUUGAUUUGGCUUAAUUCAUUGCUGGUUACUUUCACAUCUAAUCUUUGGGGAUUACUGACCAUCUAAAGACAGCUGAAAUUCUCCUGCAGGUUUUGAGUUGGCUCCUGCUAUUGCUACAACUGUAAUGCCAAUGGUAAUGGGAGUAGGAGCUGCCCUGUAGUUAAGGAGACUGAGCUAGCCAGCUCCCAAGCUGAAAAUGCAAGCCAGUGUGCUAGGAUGUGUGCUUGUGUUGUUUCACUGCGCUGCUGCGACAGCACAGGACAACUGGCAGAAUGGCUGUGAAUGUCACAAUGUGACCAUGGUGCUUUGAACCCAUUGCUGCUCACUGCAACAAAGUCUCAGCUUGAUCUGCUAGCAGCCACUUCCCCUUGAUAUUAAUAGGUACUGAGUUUUGAAGAUACCUUGUAUUACCUCAUGACUUGAAAAAGUGUUAGCCAAGUGGGUGACCCACAUCUUGCACCACUAAGGCCCUUUGGCAUCAGGAAUGUCCUCCUUUCUCUUCCCCUGAAAAAUGAAUUGGUAUGGUGCCAUAGAAAAUCACGUUACUGAUACCAGUUUUUGGAUUUCAAAAAGGUUAUUUUUUGAAGUUUGGAUGAAAACUCAGUGGGCAGAGGACACUUGGCAAAGUGUCUGAUCCAGCACAUAAGAAAGUUUAAUAAUGGCAUUUGUUAAAAGUGAGGAGGAAGAAAUGUGGCCCUGGCCCUGGGAAGUCCCCUCUGGUGCAGUUUAGUGGCCUGCAGGCUUGGAGCCUUGCUGCAAGUCUCAGCUUCACAGUAUAUCUGUGGUCGCAAGCACUCUGUUUCGUCUGCUUGGGGUGUGCAUGUGCGUGUGUGUGCACACACACUCAUGCAUGCACACUCAUGUCAAGUUCCCAGAAUGAAAGUUCCUUAAAUACUGAAACUAUGUUCUGAGGGUGAAAAUUUUUAUGUGUGUGUAAAAUUUCCUCCUUGGUUUAAAAGUGUGGCCCUCCUUAGAAAAGCUUUUGUAAACAGCUUUCUUGCGAACACAUAUCAACACUUGGGAUUCUCAGGCUCAUCACUAAUCACAGAAUAAACUACUUGUGGUUGGUUCUUAACCGUCUUAGACUGCAUUAUCUUUGUGAUGGGCUGACUGUGGGAGUAAGUGGAUGCAUGCAGGACAGAGUGACAGGAGUCAGGAAGGUGGGGUGGCAUGUCUUCUGGGCACUGUGUCCCCAGCCCACAGGCGCCAGGUGCAUCUUCAGAAGAUCGACAAUUGGGAUGUCUACAUACUGUGGUCGCCUGUGCUUAGGGUGGCUGUGAAAGGGGACAAAGCCACGUCGUGUUGGGAAUGGAAAUCUCACGUCUGGCUCACUCUAUGCUGUAGAGUGGACCGAGGGGCCCUAUUCUUUGCUCUACUUGUUCUCUCGUGGCACAGGACCAACUAUGGGACUCACUAGCAUUAGGCUGUUGGGGGAGCUCAGUGGAAAGCUUCCCUACACCCCAUCCCUGUACCUCAAAGAAAAUAGUUUGUCAUCUGAGAAAUAAUGUUUGAAGAUUUCGUCAAACAGCAUACCAUAUGAGUUACAGCUAGUGUACCUUAAAUACAGAAGAAGAAGAUGCCUUCUAAAGUACUCUCAAUAGAAUUUUUAUUAUAUAAACUUAGUAUAUUGUGGCUGAAGGAAUGGUUCAGUGGUUAAGAGCACUUGCAGCAAAAUCAUGAAGACUGGAGUUCGAAUCCUGGCACCCAAGUACCAAUCCAGACAUCUGCCCACAGAUACCAGCUCAGAGUCCAAGCAGAGAAGACAGGAUUGCUGAGAUUUGCAGACUUCCAGCAUAAUGGAGGAAAAUGUGAGUCCCAGGCUCAGAGAGAGACCCUGCCUUAAAACGUAGUAGGCAGAGAGGGAUGGAGAAUGGCACUCCACCCACCCUUCUGGACUCUACACACACCAACAGAAACAUGUGUACUCGUGCACAUAGACAAACAUACGCCAAUCUUUUUACAAAAUGUACAGCUAGCUAUAGUAUUUAGCUUGGUGCAUAUCUACUGUGUGCAUGCUACUUGUGCCUUGUGGAGUGGGUACUAGCCUUAAUUUUCAGUUUUGUACCU
Molecule: long non-coding RNA, 2694 nt
Filed under: Mus musculus (house mouse)
Lineage: Eukaryota; Metazoa; Chordata; Mammalia; Rodentia; Muridae
Description: long non-coding RNA chr2:128140656-128143350
Source: RNAcentral